CAUUUGCCUAGAAAAACUCAGU
RNAcentral lists this non-coding RNA (22 nucleotides) under Rattus norvegicus (Norway rat). The record is from RNAcentral. Lineage: Eukaryota; Metazoa; Chordata; Mammalia; Rodentia; Muridae.